UACGGAGGGUGCAAGCGUUAUCCGGAUUUACUGGGUUUAAAGGGUGUGUAGGCGGGCUUUUAAGUCAGUGGUGAAAUCUCCGGGCUCAACCCGGAAACUGCCAUUGAUACUAUUAGUCUUGAAUUCUGUUGAGGUAGGCGGAAUAAGUCAUGUAGCGGUGAAAUGCAUAGAUAUGACUUAGAACACCAAUUGCGAAGGCAGCUGGCUAGACCUGUAUUGACGCUGAGGCGCGAAAGCGUGGGGAGCGAACAGG
Molecule: ribosomal RNA, 253 nt
Filed under: uncultured bacterium
Lineage: Bacteria
Description: partial 16S ribosomal RNA
Rfam family: Bacterial small subunit ribosomal RNA
Source: RNAcentral